This 484-nucleotide ribosomal RNA is filed under the name uncultured bacterium. Its description in RNAcentral is "partial 16S ribosomal RNA". It matches the Rfam family "Bacterial small subunit ribosomal RNA", at positions 30 to 507 of the family's 1533-position model. The record is from RNAcentral.
AUUGAACGCUGGCGGCAGGCCUAACACAUGCAAGUCGAGCGGAUGAAGGGAGCUUGCUCCUGGAUUCAGCGGCGGACGGGUGAGUAAUGCCUAGGAAUCUGCCUGGUAGUGGGGGAUAACGUCCGGAAACGGGCGCUAAUACCGCAUACGUCCUGAGGGAGAAAGUGGGGGAUCUUCGGACCUCACGCUAUCAGAUGAGCCUAGGUCGGAUUAGCCAGUUGGUGGGGUAAAGGCCUACCAAGGCGACGAUCUGUAACUGGUCUGAGAGGAUGAUCAGUCACACUGGAACUGAGACACGGUCCAGACUCCUACGGGAGGCAGCAGUGGGGAAUAUUGGACAAUGGGCGAAAGCCUGAUCCAGCCAUGCCGCGUGUGUGAAGAAGGUCUUCGGAUUGUAAAGCACUUUAAGUUGGGAGGAAGGGCAGUAAGUUAAUACCUUGCUGUUUUGACGUUACCAACAGAAUAAGCACCGGCUAACUUCGUG